RNAcentral lists this small RNA (1488 nucleotides) under Vigna angularis var. angularis. Its description in RNAcentral is "Non-protein coding transcript". Lineage: Eukaryota; Viridiplantae; Streptophyta; Magnoliopsida; Fabales; Fabaceae. The record is from RNAcentral.
GCCAUUCCAUUCAUAUACAAAAGAAUAUUAUUAAAAGAAUAGGGAACUUAGAACUACGUAACCAAUAUGGUCAAAGUAGUUUGCACAUUUCUAUAUACACGCAAUUGCAAACCAAACAUGUUAAAUCUUAUACUACUAUCCCUCUUGCUUUGAAUUGCUUUCUUAUUCUUUUGAAAAUGCCUUUUCUUCUCUCACUCUAGAAGAAAAGCGAUAUAACAUACAGACUCAAAUACUCUCCAAUCCCUUCGUAUAAAUAAAUGAACCACCGUCACAAAGAGCAAGACGACUCAGCAACCAACAUUGAAAGUCGAUUUGGAGACGCUGGUUUCCGCCUGCAGCGGCGGUUGCUCUGACCAGAAAAUCGCCUGUGCCGACAACGACCAUCCAGACUUGCCGCCGGAGUCCUUCUGGCUCUCUGGUGACGCCGAGUACGACUGGUGGGACCGCAACGCCGUUUACCAGAGGAACGAAUCCACCAAAGGAAACUCAAUUUCCUCCACGAACCUCAACCCUAGCUCGAACAACAACUCGCAGCGAUUCUCCAAGAAUCUGAAAUCCAAAGCCGCAAUUAUCGGCUUGCCGAAGCCGCAGAAAACCUCCUUCGCCGACGCAAAGUGCCGUCGCAAUCACCGACUUGCAAACGCCAGGCUCUUCCCCAAGCGUAGCGCGUCUGUCAGCGGAAAAUCGGAAAACUCCCUCGUUGAACCCUCGUCGCCGAAGGUCUCCUGCAUAGGGAGAGUGCGAUCCAAGCGAGACCGCAAUCGGACACUUAGAACGCGCCAGAGAUCAAUCUCCUCCACCGCCACCGCCACUACCUCCGUCGCCGCCGUUACCAUCACGCGGCAAAAGUCGAAGCGGAGCCAGAGGAAGAAGGCUGGAUUCUUCGCAAGCGUUCGUGCUAUAUUCCAAACUGGUCGCAGGGGAAAACCAGUUCAGAAACCGGACCUUCAGCCUGGGGAUUCGUCUUCGAAGAAGAAAUGGAGCUAUGGCAAGAAAACGAGGGGAAGCACUGGUGGCAGCACGGGCAGCCGCAAGGACGAGUUGUUUGAAGAAUCGUUCUCGAGUGAGCCGCGCGGUUUGGGUUCCGUGAACCGGUUCGUGUCGGGGAGAAGGUCGGAGUCGUGGGUAGUUGGUGAGUCCGAAAUCGACGUGUCUCAUUAGGAUUCGCUUUUUGUCUGCUGUACAAUUUUGGUGACGGCUGCGGUGGGCCCUGACAUUUUGAAUAUUGGAUUAAGGGAUGACGUGGCAAAUUGAAUAACGGUAUGAACGCUAUAUUAUACUACAAUGUAUGUAAUAUAGGUUGACGGUAAAAGUAAGCGUGAUUGAAUUUGCCGCUGCUGUCUUUUUUUGUUCCUUUCUGUUCCGGCGAUUACAACGACAGCGUCGUGUAAAUAUGAUUAGUGUAACGUGCCUUUUCACAAACGCGCAGCCUUUAUCAAUCCUUGCUGUAGUUAUCUUCCCAGAGUAUCCAUACUUUUACAGUUCCCC